This 8328-nucleotide long non-coding RNA is filed under the name Citrus sinensis (sweet orange). RNAcentral's name for it is "long non-coding RNA (CSIN_LNC004420)". The record is from RNAcentral. Lineage: Eukaryota; Viridiplantae; Streptophyta; Magnoliopsida; Sapindales; Rutaceae.
UUUGUGCUGAGAAAUCUCAAAACCUUCUUGUUUAUGAAUACAUGCCGAAUGGAUCUCUAGAUAGGUGGCUUUUCCAGAGAUCAGAUGAGUUUAUGCUUGACUGGCAGCAAAGAAAGAAGAUCAUCCUUGAUAUUGCCAAGGGACUAACCUAUCUCCAUGAAGAUUGCAGGCAGAAGAUACUCCACUUGGAUAUCAAGCCCCAAAAUAUUCUGCUAGAUGACAACUUCAAUGCCAAAGUUGCUGAUUUUGGUUUGUCGAAAUUGAUUGACCGGGACCAGAGCCAAGUUGUGACAACCAUGAGAGGAACUCCAGGCUAUUUGGCUCCUGAAUGGCUUAGCUCAGUAAUUACAGAAAAAGUAGAUAUCUAUAGCUUUGGAGUUGUGAUGUUGGAGAUAUUGUGUGGCCGGAAAGUUUUUGACCGCUCUCAGCCUGAGGAGGAAGACAUGUAUUUGCUAAGCAUAUUCAAUAAGAAGGCAGAGGAGGACAAAUUGUCUGAUCUGGUAGAUAGACACAGUAACGAUAUGCAAUCAAAUGAAGAAGAAGUAGUGAAUAUGAUGAAGGUAGCUGCAUGGUGUCUGGAAAGUGAUUUUGUAAAGAGACCUUCCAUGUCAAUGGUAGUUAAGGUUUUGGAGGAUGUUACAGAGUUUGAGCAUAACCUCCAUUAUAACUUGGUUCAUCUACCAACUACAGCAGCAUUAACAAACGUUGAUCGUAGAGAAGAAAAUGAUAAACCCAUUACUCAAUUGUUGCCUUCAGUUUUGUCAGGGCCAAGAUGACAGACGGCUAGCAGGUAUACAUACCAUUUUUCCAUUCUUGAUUAGCAUUAAUAAUGUUUACCAACAACUUUUGUUUUUGGACUUGAAAAAGAAAUCCAAUUGGGCUUUACCAGCAACUUUCAGCAUCUUUCUUGAAAAAAAUAAAAAACAAUUGGCCCCAAAUUUUUGUAGGGUUAUUCGUGGAUACAAACCGGAAUAAAAGAAACUUUAAAUCUUUGAUAAGAAUGUAAGUUUCAUUAUCGAUUUAUUAUGCAAAUUUAAAUUCGUGGACCAAUAACUGCAGGAACCUUCUAACGUACGUAUGUGCUAAUUCAGAAAUUCGUGGCAAGUCUCAGUAGUAAUUAAUCUCAAAUUUGCAGUAUCUGGCGAAUCUUAUCAUUGACUGAUCUUUGGCCCUGAUCUUUUCUGCUUCUCAAGCAGAUGAGUGGCAGAAACAAGAAGAGGGUGCCUACAACAUUAAACUUUUGCCAAGCAAAAUUAAGCGAAGAAGUCCAAUCUUAUGGGAAGUUAACUCAAGCUUUUACUAGUGGAUCUUCUGUAAGAUAAAUACUUCCGAAAAAUGGAUGUUCUACAGUGAUUUUGUCGUCUACAUUUGUUGUUUAGACGCUGAGAAUGUCUGUCUUUAGAUAUUGCGAAUGUAAGUGGGGGAGGCAAAGCAAGCUGCAUUACAUUGAACGCUUUAUUUUGAUUUGUUCAAUGCUUCAAUAUAUAUAUAUAUAUAAUAGGUCUAAAAUGUUGCUUAAUAAAGAGCAUUAAAUAGUAUCUUUAUUAUAAUAUUUACCUACUGGUUAUUUGUUAGUGAAACAAGGAGUUGGGGAAAUUUUGUUUUUUGGAAACAAAGAGAUCCCACUAUAAUGAAGAGUAUGCCAAAACUUAAGCUCUUGGGUCGAGUGGUAACAGAGCAAUUUUAGUCUCACUUUUUAUGACCUCUCUUGUUGUGUUAGGAGGGUAUGGCUAAUUUUUGGAUGAAUAUAAUUAUCAUGAGGACAUAUUGCAGAGGUUGAAUAUAAUCGUCAUGAAGACAUAUUGCACCUAAGAUUAAGAAUAUAAUGUAGGAAGCUUUUGCAAAGACUGUCCAUAGCUUAUAUACUGCACCCUGAGUCCUUAAAUAAUCAAAUCUCUAGUUAAACGCUCGUAAAAGUUUGACUUCUAUGUGGCAAGGCUUCAAGUGUAUUCUAUCUCACCCUUUUCUUUGAUGUGGGAUCUCUCUUUGAUUAAACUUAUUGCCAUUUUCAAGGUUUUAUAAUUUCUCCAAUAUAAAACUUUUGUAUUUUGUUGUGAUCAUAUAUCACUUCAUAUUCCAGUUGCGAAGGAGACAGAGUUUGAGUUUUGGGGAUUUCUUUUUGUUAUUCUUGCUGCUGUCAUGUCUGGAUUUCGUUGGUGCAUGACUCAAAUUCUUCUACAGGUAUGGUUUAGUUGUAUUCCUGAUAUACAUGGUUUAUGGAAUUUGUGUAACUUAAACCCAAUUUUUUUUUCCUACAUGACUUUAUUUUUUUGUUUGGAUUUCAAUACGAUGGUCCAUGGCGAAAUAAAAAUGGAUGUAAAGAAAGAAACUUACGGUAGGUACUUAUUCUUUUUCUUUUAUUUCAUUUGAAUUUUAGCCAAUCUCAACUGCUACUAGAUUUUAUCUACUGCCAUAAGUAUCUGCAAGCAUGCUUUGCACAUAUUAGAUUUUCAUGUACCGCUGUAAGCAUCUGCAAGUGUGUGUAACAUGUAUGUUCCUCAGAAUUUACUUUACAUAAUGAUGAUACAUAGAAAUACUGUUUAUUGGACCUUUUCUUAUGAGCUUGAGCUUUUGGAAUUAAUAGUCUUUUAAUAUGGUGUCAUUCUGCUUUUUUCUAAGCUAGCCAGCACUUAUUGAUGAACAAAUUUUGCUCUUGGUAAAAAGCUUGAGUCUCUGGUGAACAAACUUAUACAUUACAUUUCUUUCCUAGAUGCUUUGCCUUAGUUUUUAUACCAUUAUUUCUAAUCAAUCACUAAGAAGUGUUUUCUUUAUUUUUUGUUUUUAGGUCUUAAAAAUCCACUUACCUUGAUGAGCUAUGUGGCACCAAUUAUGGCGCUGGUGACUGCUCUUCUUUCUCUAUUGCUGGAUCCAUGGCAUGAAUUCAAAAGGAAUAAUUAUUUCAAUAACUCAUGGCAUGUCACUCGGAGUUUGUUGCUGAUGCUUUCCGGCGGAGCUUUGGCCUUUUUCAUGGUAAGAAUUGAUGUCGAACAAAAGGAUUGGGGGGAAGAUACAUUUACAUGCUUUUCGUGUUGCAUAUUGAGUAUGCUUGGUCUGAGUUUCAUGGUCUCCAAAAGAAAUUAAUACAUUUACAUGCUUUUCAUGUUGCAUAUUGAGUACACUUGAUCUGAGUUUCAUGGUCCCCAAAAGAACUAACUUGUUUCUCUUGUUACAGGUUUUGACGGAAUUUGUACUUGUCUCGGUAACAAGUGCUGUCACUGUUCAAAUUGCAGGUGUUGUCAAGGAGGCUGUUACCAUAUUGGUAAAACUUUUCUAGGGUAGUUCGGCUUUCUAGAUUAUUUUGGUAAAAUGUUGGCCAUUGUAUGUGCUUUAUUGUUUGUUCUAUCUUACUUUCUAGUCGUUACCUUGUGAAAUCCUUUAGUUACAAUACCGUUCUGUUUGAAACAUUAAAUAUUCAAACUCUCCUAUUAGAUAAGAUAAAUACCCUGUUUGUCAUGAGCUGCAAUUAUUCAUGAUUAUGGCUAUUGUCUUAAAAUAUUUUUUAUGGUCUGAGCCGUCUUUUGUAACUUUUAAUUGUGAUCUGUAAUUACAUUUAGAUUUUUGUUUGAGGAUGUUUAAUGCAUCUAUAGAUGUAAGAAUCACGCUUUGAUUGUUUUACUAGUUUUAUUGUCACAGUGUAGGCUGUGUAGCUCUCUCCUGCAUAGACGGACACUGUGCUUUGAUUGUUUUACUAGUUUUAUUGUCGCAAUGUAGCUGUCUCCUGCAUAGACAGACACCGUAUAGAAUUAAACCCUAGUCUUAUGUUUUCUUAUUGUGUUUUUUCAUUUGGUUAGUUAUUUUAUUAAUAAUUACAAAUAUAAAAAACAUGAAUGGCUACACAGUAUAAGGACUCUCAAAGGAUUCUACUUCAAUAUGUAAAUGUACAGGUUGCAGUGUUUUACUUCCAUGAUGAGUUCAGUUGGCUGAAGGGGUUUGGUCUCUUCACAAUCCUGGUUGGUGUCAGUUUAUUCAAUUGGUACAAGUAAGUCAUUAGUUAUUGUAGUUUUGAACUAUUAUUAUAUGUUUCUUCUCUUUUUCUUUUUUCCUUUUUUUCCUGUGUUAACUGAUUUUGUUGUUGUCUUUUUUUUUUCAACUAUUAUUUGGCUGUUAGAUUAUUGCUUAGUGUGUAGUGGCCAAAUGUGGAUUGUGUGAUGCAGAAUACAUAAGUAUCCAGUUCAUUCCUAAUAAUCUUAAAACUUCCUCUCAUCAAAGAGUCCAAUUAAACGGGACAAAAUGUAAUUGUAGAACUUUUGGACUGGACAAAUUUCCCAUGACUAGCCUUUGCUUUUGGCUGUUUGCAUGAGAAGGAUGUUCCUUUAACUUGCAUGUUUUCCAUGUUAAAUACCCUUCUAUAACAUUAAACACUAAAGCUUGGUUGAUGUCCAACAGAUGUUAUAUGUCAGAUUUGCGAACAUUCUGGUGGUGAGCUUUAAUCUUAUCUGUGAACGGUUAGCCUGCUGCACAAAAUUGGAUCAUUAUACAAAGGUUCCACAUUAUGUGCCCUAGUCAUUGAAGUUUGAUAAAAUUUAAGAAUAUGAUAAUGACAUUUCUCGAAAUUCAAGAAAGCUUCCCAAUGGUCAUUAUGUGUCAUUAUAAAUGGGAUCAACCAACUUAUAAUUGCCUUGUCCUGUUGCUAUCAGUUAGCAAUGAGAAUUGAUAUUUUACCGGCUCAUCCAGCUAAAUUUUGUCAGUCCUUUGCUCCUCACUUACCAAAUUUGACAUGUAUUGAUUGCAUUUGUUUGUGGAUCUCUUGAAUAAUAUUUUGGUUUUUGAUGUUUCUUCCUGACAUAUUAAAAAUAUUGGAAUUUUAAGAGUCUCUCUAGUCUCUGAGAUUAUGGAUCAGAAAAGCAUCUGUAUUCAACAUUAGUUGUGGAACAAUUUACGGGCAGAAUGAUAAAGCUCAACUUUAAGUUACCUAAUCUUAACGCCUGAUUUCUGCUGUGUGCUUCUUGUCAACUUUUUCCUAAUCUGGGUUUUGAUAUUGAUUGUUAAUCUUUUUUAUCCUUUUUCAGAUACCAAAAGCUUCAGGCAGGUCAUGCAAAUGAAGAUGGCAUGCUGGGAUCACGUGAAACAAAUGCUUCUGCAAAAUAUGUUAUUCUAGAGGAGAUUGAUGAUCUAGAUGAGGGCACUUGAAGUUUCUAGUAAUCACAUGAUUUGAAUUUUGAUAAUCUUGUGUAAGCCUCUUGCUGAACCUUCUCCCCUAAAAACAUUGGACAUCUAUGCAGUUUGGGGUGGAACCUUAGGUUGAUGCAAUGGUUUGAUUUGGUAUUUAUCAGUGGUCCAAGUUUGUGUAAUGAUCCAUUGAUUUACAUUUGAUUAUCAGGUUAUCAGCCAAAGAAAUCCGUGGCAUCAGUAGUAACUGGUCUCAAGUUUGCGGUACUUAGCAAAUCUUAUUUUUGGCUGAGCUUCGGCCUUGAUUUUUUCUGCGCCCUCAAGCAGGUCAGUGGCAGAAACGUACAGGGUGUGUACAAAAUCAGGGGUUUAGCAAAUACAUUUUGGCAAGCGGAAUUGAGUGAAGACUGAAGAAGCCCGUUCAUGUGGGAAGUUUACCUCAAGCUUUUUACUAGUGGGUCUUGUCUAAGAUACAUAUUUCCGAAAUGCAUACUCUACGGUCAUUUUGUCGGUCGUUGAUUUGUUGUUUAGUUUAGACAUUGAGAAUGCAAGUGGCGAAGCAAGCUGUAAUCGAUUGAACGCUUUAUUUUGACUUGUUCAAUGCUUCAAAUAUAUUAUUUCACUUUUUGAGGACUUUUAUGGUCAUCCUUUGAUAAAUUGUAUUGUACUCCCUUCAUUGGUUUUAUGCUACCAGGCACCGACUCUGUGGACUUUUACGCUACCACGGGAAAACAGAAAUGAAAAAACAAACUUUUUUGUAGAACAUUAAAAUAUGAAUACAAAAAUGGUAAAGAGAGAGAAAGAUAAAAAAAGGUGUAUUGAACUGGAGCAAAAUUUCCUCAUCUUUCACUCGUUUCAUUUUUCUCUGUCUUUAGCAUCAUCAUUAAUAUAAAUAUCCUUUUUCUUAUUCUUAUGCCUAUCUUUUAAUAAAAUACGUCAAUGGGCCCUGGCCCAGUGGGUGGAUGAGUCAUAAGCGUGUCGGUGGGACCGGUGGGUGGAUGAUACAGAAUAGAGCUAACGAGACUGCAGGGUUGACUUCUGUACCUUAAAUAAGUUUUUUCAGUCAAUCCUUAUUUUAUCAUUGAAAUUCUCUGCAAAGUGAAAAAAAUCCUGCAGUCUCCUUUACAAAUCAUUCCGUAUUGCACUCUUCGUUGUCGGCGAUGAGUGUUAGCCGGAACCGGUGUUCUGUUCUUUUCUUUCUUAUUUUCUCUGCACCAUUUUCUUGCUUGGUUGAUGCCCAAAGUUUUGAUUAUCCGACAGCGAACCUCUCUACUUCAUGGACCAACGGCCCAUCAGCUUCUGACUCGGUAGGUUUCACUGACGGAUCAGCGGUGACAGCCAUCCUUCUUAGGGGAACCCUUGGCCCCACAUAUGCAUGUGGCUUCUUCUGCAACGGCACCUGUGACUCUUAUCUAUUUGCUGUUUUCAUAGUUCAGGCCAAUGAUGCUUCCUUAAUCGAAUAUGACAAUAUCGAUUUUCCACAGGUUGUCUGGUCUGCUAAUCGUAACAAUCCUGUUCGAAUAAACGCAACCUUAGAACUCACUUCAGAUGGGAACUUGGUCUUGCAAGAUGCUGACGGAGCUAUUGCUUGGUCGACGAAUACCAGUGGUAAAUCUGUUGUGGGCUUAAACUUGACAGACAUGGGCAACCUCGUACUUUUUGACAAGAAUAAUGGGGCCGUUUGGCAAUCUUUCGAUCAUCCAACGGACUCGCUGGUUCCUGGCCAAAAAUUGUUGGAAGGGAAGAAACUUACAGCUAGUGUUUCAACCACGAAUUGGACGGAUGGAGGAUUGUUUUCACUUUCUGUCACUAACGAAGGAUUAUUUGCUUUCAUAGAGUCUAAUAAUACUUCAAUACGGUAUUAUGAAUUAGUCAAAGCCACAAAAACAAGUAAGGAACCAAGCCAUGCUAGAUAUCUGAAUGGAAGCUUAGCUUUCUUCAUAAAUUCCUCCGAACCAAGGGAACCAGAUGGGGCAGUUCCUGUUCCUCCAGCAUCGUCAUCCCCGGGACAGUACAUGAGAUUGUGGCCUGAUGGACAUUUAAGAGUUUACGAGUGGCAAGCAUCGAUAGGGUGGACAGAAGUGGCCGAUCUAUUGACAGGUUAUCUUGGGGAAUGCGGUUAUCCUCUGGUUUGCGGCAAGUAUGGCAUCUGCUCUCAGGGGCAAUGCAGUUGUCCUGCAACCUAUUUCAAGGUAUUAAAUGAUAGAAAGCCUGCCCUUGGGUGCUCCCCGAUUACUCCCCUAUCAUGCGAAGCUUCGCAAGAUCAUAGUUUUGUUGAACUCAAUGAUGUCGCUUACUUCACGUUUAGCUCACCUAGCUCAGACCUUACGAAUACAGAUCCAGAGACAUGCAAACAAGCCUGUUUAAAGAAUUGCUCGUGCAAAGCUGCUCUUUUUCUGUAUGGUUUGAACCCUUCUCGUGGAGAUUGCUACUUACCAUCUGAACUCUUUUCAAUGAUGAAUAAUGAGAAGGAAAAGACUCAUUAUAACUCAACUGUUUACAUUAAGGUUCAAAACUUUUCAAUGCCAGGUGCAAGUCCAGGAGGAAAGGAGACGAGCCACAGAAAAAGAAUAAUGGGGUUCAUCCUUGGAUCUUUCUUUGGUUUAUUAGUUCUAAUUGGUAUCUUGAUCUUUUUCUUUGGGAAGAAAAAGGGGGCUGAUGAAAUUGAGGAAGAUUGUUUAGAUCAAGUGCCAGGACUACCCAAAAGAUUCUCAUUUGAAGAGUUGAAAGUCAUGACAGACAAUUUCAGAAAGAUACUGGGUAAGGGGGGUUUUGGCUCAGUCUUUGAGGGGACACAAACUGAUGGCACAAAAGUUGCAGUGAAACGUCUCGAAGGAAUUGGUGAAAUCAAUAAAUCUUUCUUAGCAGAGGUGAAGACAAUUGGAAGCAUUCACCAUCUGAACUUGUUGAGGUUGAUAGGGUUUUGUGCUGAGAAAUCUCAAAACCUUCUUGUUUAUGAAUACAUGCCGAAUGGAUCUCUAGAUAGGUGGCUUUUCCAGAGAUCAGAUGAGUUUAUGCUUGACUGGCAGCAAAGAAAGAAGAUCAUCCUUGAUAUUGCCAAGGGACUAACCUAUCUCCAUGAAGAUUGCAGGCAGAAGAUACUCCACUUGGAUAUCAAGCCCCAAAAUAUUCUGCUAGAUGACAACUUUAAUGCCAAAGUUGCUGAUUUUGGUUUGUCGAAAUUGAUUGACCGGGACCAGAGCCAAGUUGUGACAACCA